AAACAGCACGCCGCACUUCUGCCUCUCAGCACUCGACGAGUUUUCUCAACAGGCAUCCCGACUUGGAGUCCAGCUCCGUUCCACCGAAUGUGAAGACAAGAUGCUGGAGGUGCUUUUGGGAAACCCAGAGCUUGGAGCAGACCACCGCAGGCUGUGAACCGAGGCCAAGGCCGGGGCUGCCAGAUGCGGGGGUGUGGAUCGGUGGCCGUGGCCAUGCCUGUGGCUGGCUGCACUAGCUGACCCUGUACAUUUGGAACCUCACCCACUCCUGUGGCCGAACCAUCUGCCCCUCCCCGGACUCACCAACAACAACAGUUUUCAAGAGGACACCGGAAUUCCCUCCACCCACCGUCCAUCUUCAGUCUGGAUUUCAUUCUGCCGUCGCUGCCUCUGCCUUCAACUCCAGUCCUCAGCCCGUUACCCCCCUCCCUAGUCAGCAGUCCGUCCCCAGCAUGAGCCAGGUUGAGGUAUUAGUGUUGUUUAGUUAACGUUACCUGAGACCCUGUCAUUUUUAGUGAGCUUAGUUGCUCUUUAGCUUUGAGUCUGCGUAGUUUUUCUAGUGAGCUUAGUUGCUCUUCAGCUUUGAGUCUGUGUAGUUUUUCUAAUGAGCUUAGUUAUUUUCCCCAGUUCCUGUUUCCGGGAUCCGGCUUCUGGGAGUUGUAGUCUUUUGGUUUUUGCUC
Molecule: long non-coding RNA, 680 nt
Organism: Amphiprion ocellaris (clown anemonefish)
Lineage: Eukaryota; Metazoa; Chordata; Actinopteri; Pomacentridae
Source: Ensembl